UUCAGAUCUCAAAUGAGCCUCCUUUAAAAG
RNAcentral lists this non-coding RNA (30 nucleotides) under Mus musculus (house mouse). The record is from RNAcentral. Lineage: Eukaryota; Metazoa; Chordata; Mammalia; Rodentia; Muridae.